UCACGGUCUCCGUCGAAGAGUCCGUGAGGACCGACGCGUAUAACUUCCAUUCACUAUUCACUGUCCGGGAUCCACGUAUACCCUGUAUCGUACCAGUGUGGAGCGUCUAACUAUUUCGAAAACUGCACGAGACACGGGUAAAAUUGUUUAUACGAAUCGUAAAAGUAAAAGUACACGAAACAGCGGGACACUCUUUUUCCGCGACGCGUGCAAAGGACCUUAAAAUAAAUUUGUGUUAAAUGCAAGGUUGUUCCGCAAGAAUAACGCAACGACGAAUCAACUAAAUUUCGUAAAUGUUUAUUGAAAAAUACUGUUAUAUGCAUAUCGCUGUUAAUGAAAUUACAUAAAGAUUAAUUAAGCAUAAAAUCAUAUCGAUUCGAUGCGCGACCUUGAGUAUCUGAAUCGUGAUCAAAAUAAACCGAACAAAAUAAUGUUUA
Long non-coding RNA from Megachile rotundata (alfalfa leafcutting bee), 437 nucleotides. NCBI's taxonomy places the organism in Eukaryota, Metazoa, Arthropoda, Insecta, Hymenoptera, Megachilidae. The record is from RefSeq and is a predicted model, not a curated record.